This 724-nucleotide ribosomal RNA is filed under the name uncultured bacterium. RNAcentral's name for it is "bacterial SSU rRNA". It matches the Rfam family "Bacterial small subunit ribosomal RNA", at positions 62 to 746 of the family's 1533-position model. The record is from RNAcentral.
UCGAGCGAGUCUGCCUUGAAGAUCGGAGUGCUUGCACUCUGUGAAACAAGAUACAGGCUAGCGGCGGACGGGUGAGUAACACGUGGGUAACCUGCCCAAGAGAUCGGGAUAACACCUGGAAACAGAUGCUAAUACCGGAUAACAACAGAUGAUGCCUAUCAACUGUUUAAAAGAUGGUUCUGCUAUCACUCUUGGAUGGACCUGCGGUGCAUUAGCUAGUUGGUAGGGUAACGGCCUACCAAGGCGAUGAUGCAUAGCCGAGUUGAGAGACUGAUCGGCCACAUUGGGACUGAGACACGGCCCAAACUCCUACGGGAGGCAGCAGUAGGGAAUCUUCCACAAUGGACGCAAGUCUGAUGGAGCAACGCCGCGUGAGUGAAGAAGGGUUUCGGCUCGUAAAGCUCUGUUGUUGGUGAAGAAGGACAGGGGUAGUAACUGACCUUUGUUUGACGGUAAUCAAUUAGAAAGUCACGGCUAACUACGUGCCAGCAGCCGCGGUAAUACGUAGGUGGCAAGCGUUGUCCGGAUUUAUUGGGCGUAAAGCGAGUGCAGGCGGCUCGAUAAGUCUGAUGUGAAAGCCUUCGGCUCAACCGGAGAAUUGCAUCAGAAACUGUCGAGCUUGAGUACAGAAGAGGAGAGUGGAACUCCAUGUGUAGCGGUGAAAUGCGUAGAUAUAUGGAAGAACACCGGUGGCGAAGGCGGCUCUCUGGUCUGUUACNGACGC